CACGGGGGGAGCAAGCGUUGUUCGGAUUCAUUGGGCGUAAAGGGUGUGUAGGUGGCGCGCUAAGUCGGGUGUGAAAUUUCGGAGCUUAACUCCGAAACUGCAUUCGAUACUGGCGUGCUUGAGGACUGGAGAGGAGACUGGAAUUCAUGGUGUAGCAGUGAAAUGCGUAGAGAUCAUGAGGAAGACCAGUGGCGAAGGCGGGUCUCUGGACAGUUCCUGACACUGAGACACGAAGGCCAGGGGAGCAAACGGG
Molecule: ribosomal RNA, 253 nt
Filed under: uncultured bacterium
Lineage: Bacteria
Description: partial 16S ribosomal RNA
Rfam family: Bacterial small subunit ribosomal RNA
Source: RNAcentral